Molecule: ribosomal RNA, 423 nt
Filed under: uncultured bacterium
Lineage: Bacteria
Description: bacterial SSU rRNA
Rfam family: Bacterial small subunit ribosomal RNA
Source: RNAcentral
UGAGGAGUAUUGGUCAAUGGGCGCAAGCCUGAACCAGCCAUCCCGCGUGCAGGAAGGCGGCCCUAUGGGUUGUAAACUGCUUUUCCAGGGGGAGAAUUUUUCUGUCGUGACAGGAAUUGACGGUACCCUGGGAAUAAGCAUCGGCUAACUCCGUGCCAGCAGCCGCGGUAAUACGGAGGAUGCGAGCGUUAUCCGGAUUUAUUGGGUUUAAAGGGUGCGUAGGCGGAUUGAUAAGUCAGUGGUGAAAACCUGCAGCUUAACUGUAGACUUGCCGUUGAUACUGCCAGUCUUGAGUGUGGUCAAGGUAGGCGGAAUGUGUAAUGUAGCGGUGAAAUGCUUAGAUAUUACACAGAACACCGAUUGCGAAGGCAGCUUACUGGGCCAUUACUGACGCUGAGGCACGAAAGCGUGGGGAUCGAACAG